This 492-nucleotide ribosomal RNA is filed under the name uncultured bacterium. Its description in RNAcentral is "partial 16S ribosomal RNA". It matches the Rfam family "Bacterial small subunit ribosomal RNA", at positions 29 to 507 of the family's 1533-position model. The record is from RNAcentral.
AGUGAACGCUCGCGGUAGGCCUAACACAUGCAAGUCGAACGGCAGCACAGUAAGAGCUUGCUCUUACGGGUGGCGAGUGGCGGACGGGUGAGGAAUACAUCGGAAUCUACUUUUUCGUGGGGGAUAACGUAGGGAAACUUACGCUAAUACCGCAUACGACCUACGGGUGAAAGCAGGGGAUCUUCGGACCUUGCGCGAUUGAAUGAGCCGAUGUCGAAUUAGCUAGUUGGCGGGGUAAAGGCCCACCAAGGCGACGAUCCGUAGCUGGUCUGAGAGGAUGAUCAGCCACACUGGAAGUGAGACACGGUCCAGACUCCUACGGGAGGCAGCAGUGGGGAAUAGUGGACAAUGGGCGCAAUCCUGAUCCAGCCAUACCGCGUGGGUGGAGAAGGCCUUCGGGUUGUAAAGCCCUUUUGUUGGGAAAGAAAAGCAGCAGGUUAAUACCCCGCUGUUCUGACGGUACCCAAAGAAUAAGCAGCGGCUAACUUCGUG